Molecule: long non-coding RNA, 658 nt
Filed under: Gallus gallus (chicken)
Lineage: Eukaryota; Metazoa; Chordata; Aves; Galliformes; Phasianidae
Description: lncRNA (ENSGALG00010011665.1)
Source: RNAcentral
UUCAUAAUAUAUUGAUUCUGAUUCAGGUUUCUGCAAGAAACAUUUCCUUUUUAAAUGAAGCAAGUCUUGUGGGUCCUAUAAAUCCCAAAUUGACAGUAACAGGAACCUCCCCUUGCAGUAAUGAAAGAAAUCACUGACACUAUUUCAAAUUCAUAGUUUCUUCUGAAGGUUUAAAGAAGAUGAAAACAACAAAGAGCAUCGACAACGUGAAAGACCCUGAGAUCAUUGGACACUAGUUGAUGGCUGUUGGAGGCCUACUGAGAAGAGGAAUGAGAUCUGCUUUCACCAUGAAGUACUUCCCUAGAAGUCAGCCAUGACACCCCAAAAGGUAUCUGAGCUGCUGAAGGCUAUCUUUGAGGAGCAGAUGUUGGUGGUAUGACAGUAGAGAUUGCACCUUCCCACCAGUAUUCCACUACAUGUUGUUGCUGUAUGACAGAUGGCAGCAGAGGGGCAGUCUGACAAAAAGUCGUCUGACAUGGAAGUGUGUAUGAAGCAAAGAUGUGCCACUGAAUUCUUCCUAGGGGAAAAAAAUGGCACCCACUGACAUUAUUGACAUUUGCUGAACGUUUCUGGAGACUAAAGAGUGGAUGUGAGCACAGUGAAGUGAUGAGGCAUUUCAACAGUGGCAACAGCAACAGUGGAUUGCCUUUGCUGGUAC